Non-coding RNA from Microcebus murinus (gray mouse lemur), 562 nucleotides. NCBI's taxonomy places the organism in Eukaryota, Metazoa, Chordata, Mammalia, Primates, Cheirogaleidae. The record is from RefSeq and is a predicted model, not a curated record.
GAGACUGAGGCCCUCAUCAGACACUGAACCUACAGGCACCAUGAUCUUGGAUUUUCCAGCCUUCAAAGCUGUGAGGAGAAACAAAAGAAAGAAAACCUGAGCUGAGUAAGAAUAAAACUAAUGCUGGAGCAGGGUUAUGAGAGGCACUCCCCAGCACUAGCAUCACCGCCUCAGCUCCACCUCGGAUCAUCAGGAGUUAGAUUAUCACAAGGAGCAUGCAACUAGAUUCCUCACCUGCACAGCUUACAGUAAGAUUUGCACUCCUAUGAGAAUCUAAUGCCACCACUGAUCUGAUAGGAGGCAGAGCUUACAAGGUAAUGUGACUGAUGGGGAACAGCUAUAAAUACAGAUGAAGCUUCACUGGCUAGCCCACCACCCAACUCAUGCUGCGUGCCUCAAUUCCUAACAAGCCAUGGACUAGUAAUACUAGUCCACAGCCUGGGGCUUGAGGAUGGCAGCUCUAAGCCAUCAGCUUCUCUCUGAGGAAGUACUGCAAUCUGAUGAAUAGUUUAUGAUUUUUAACCAGGUCCUCUUUGUCAUGGACCAUGGUAAAGUUUUAUAG